GACCCGUUCGUCUAACGGUUAGGACUCCAGAUUUUCAUUCUGGCAAUAGGGGUUCGAUUCCCCUACGGGUUGCCA
Molecule: transfer RNA, 75 nt
Filed under: Haloferula chungangensis
Lineage: Bacteria; Pseudomonadati; Verrucomicrobiota; Verrucomicrobiia; Verrucomicrobiales; Verrucomicrobiaceae
Also listed under: 7 other names
Description: tRNA-Glu
Rfam family: tRNA
About the family: Transfer RNA (tRNA) molecules are approximately 80 nucleotides in length. Their secondary structure includes four short double-helical elements and three loops (D, anti-codon, and T loops).
Source: RNAcentral